GCUUUUGUUUCGCAGUUGGGGCAUCUACGUGUUAAAUCACUUCAAACAUUUAAGAGUCAGCUGGAACAAUUAUUACGUAGAGGAGAAGCAUUUGCGGCAUCUGUUCGUACAUGCUCUGAGUCUUGUAUCACUGAAUUUGAUAAGGGAUGUUCAGAUGCUGCCAUAAGACAUGCUAAUUGGGAUGCUUCAAAAUUUCGUGACAAACUCAUUCGUGAUAUUGAGGCCCAUGUGUCCUCUGUUCGUAAUGAUAAGUUAUCUGAACUGAAGGCCAUUUAUGAGAAACAAAUCACAAUUGCACUUGCUGAACCUGUACAAUCCCUUUUUGAUGUUGGUGGGAGUGAAACAUGGGCCUCAAUAAGAAAGCUUCUAAAACGCGAGACAGAUGUGGCUAUAUCAUGCUUCUGCCCAGCACUUUCCGGCUUUGAAUUGGACCAGUACGCAUUUGACAGAAUGAUGCAAAGUCUGAAAGACUACGCUAGAAGUGUUGUGGAGAAAAUAGCAAGAGAAGAAGCUGGAAAAGUUUUGAUGCAAAUGAAGGAUAGGUUUAAUACUGUGUUCAGCCAUGAUAGCGAUUCAAUCCCAAGGCUUUGGACAGGGAAGGAGGACAUUAAAUCAAUAACAUUGGAGGCCCGCUCUGAGUCUCUGAAGUUUUUGUCUAUAGUGGCUGCCAUACGGUUGGAUGAAAAAUCAGACAGAAUAGAAAGCAUACUUUUCUCCAGACUCUUGGAAGGGAAGAUUUCAAUUUCUUCUCGGAAUAGUGAUAUUGCAGAUUCUUGUGACCCCCUUGCCUCAAGCUCAUGGGAAGAGGUUUCACCAGAGAACACAUUGCUCACACCAGUGCAGUGUUUAUCUUUGUGGAGACAAUUCAUGGCAGAAACCGAGUAUAUUGUUAGUCAAGCUAUUUCAGCACAGGAAGCAUACAGGCAAAGCAAUAAUUGGUUACCUCCUGCCUGGGCUAUAGUGGCUAUGAUUAUACUUGGUUUCAACGAAUUCAUGCUUCUUUUAAGAAAUCCUCUCUACCUCUUCAUGCUUUUUGUUGUAUAUUUAUUUGGGAAAGCUCUGUGGAUACAGAUGGACAUUCCUGGGGAGUUCCGGAAUGGCAUUCUGUCUGGACUUAUUUCCAUCUCAUCAAGGUUCCUUCCAACUGUUAUGGAUCUUCUUCGACGGCUAGCUGCUGAAGGCCAGGGAAAUCCUGCUCCUGGAACUUCCAGGGCUUCCCAACACGUUUCUUCUCAGAGCUUUAGGAGUCAAGUUAAUAGUCCUAACCCUGUUUCGAGUUCAGUUCCCAGUUCAUCUGUCUCAUCCAACGUCUUAACCGAAAAUGACGUUGAAUACACGAGCCGAUAGCUGACACACAUCAAGUGGAACAAGAACAAUCUUCUCAAUGAAGCAGAAUAGUGUUAAUACCAUCUCCGCUAGAACAGAAGCUGCUCUUGUAAAUGAUGUUGCUUCUUUCUUAACCCAUAGUCCUAGAUGAUGUAGUGCUUAUAGUGUAGCUUUUGAAGUUUGUGAGU
Molecule: unclassified non-coding RNA, 1514 nt
Filed under: Hevea brasiliensis (rubber tree)
Lineage: Eukaryota; Viridiplantae; Streptophyta; Magnoliopsida; Malpighiales; Euphorbiaceae
Source: RNAcentral